Triticum urartu is the source of this 126-nucleotide non-coding RNA. NCBI's taxonomy places the organism in Eukaryota, Viridiplantae, Streptophyta, Magnoliopsida, Poales, Poaceae. The record is from Rfam.
CACCUACUCUCUUCGUCCAAAAAAAUUUGUCCCAAUCUUGUUUUUUAAAUGAAUGUAUCUAGCACUAAUUUGGUGUUAAAUACAUUCAUUUGUGAGACAAACUUUUCCGGACGAAGAGAAUAAGAA